RNAcentral lists this ribosomal RNA (116 nucleotides) under uncultured bacterium. Its description in RNAcentral is "partial 16S ribosomal RNA". It matches the Rfam family "Bacterial small subunit ribosomal RNA", at positions 1369 to 1482 of the family's 1533-position model. The record is from RNAcentral.
CGUUCUCGGGCCUUGUACACACCGCCCGUCACACCACGGAAGCCGGUAACACCCGAAGUCGGUGUCCUAACCCGCAAGGGAAGGAGCCGCCGAAGGUGGGAUUGGUGACUGGGGUG